UAGAUUGAAGCCAGUUGUUUUGGGCGUUUAGCUGUUAACUAAAUUUUUGUAGGUUAAAAUCCUAUCGGUCUAG
RNAcentral lists this transfer RNA (73 nucleotides) under Tamiops swinhoei. Its description in RNAcentral is "tRNA-Asn". It matches the Rfam family "tRNA". Rfam says of the family: Transfer RNA (tRNA) molecules are approximately 80 nucleotides in length. Their secondary structure includes four short double-helical elements and three loops (D, anti-codon, and T loops). Lineage: Eukaryota; Metazoa; Chordata; Mammalia; Rodentia; Sciuridae. The record is from RNAcentral.